This 467-nucleotide ribosomal RNA is filed under the name uncultured bacterium. Its description in RNAcentral is "partial 16S ribosomal RNA". It matches the Rfam family "Bacterial small subunit ribosomal RNA", at positions 28 to 506 of the family's 1533-position model. The record is from RNAcentral.
GACGAACGCUGGCGGCGUGCUUAACACAUGCAAGUCGAACGGAAAGGCCCUGCUUUUGUGGGGUGCUCGAGUGGCGAACGGGUGAGUAACACGUGAGUAACCUGCCCUUGACUUUGGGAUAACUUCAGGAAACUGGGGCUAAUACCGGAUAGGAGCUCCUGCUGCAUGGUGGGGGUUGGAAAGUUUCGGCGGUUGGGGAUGGACUCGCGGCUUAUCAGCUUGUUGGUGGGGUAGUGGCUUACCAAGGCUUUGACGGGUAGCCGGCCUGAGAGGGUGACCGGCCAAAUGGGGAUGGAGAUACGGCCCAGACUCCUACGGGGGGCAGGAGUGGGGAAUAUUGCAAAAGGGGGGGAAGCCGGAUGCAGAAACGCCGGGGGGGGGAUGACGGCCUUGGGGUUGUAAACCGCUUUCGCCGGGGACGAAGGGGGGGGGAGGGUAAUGGGUAAAGAAGCACAGGCUAAAUACGU